This 1837-nucleotide long non-coding RNA is filed under the name Salmo salar (Atlantic salmon). RNAcentral describes it as "lncRNA (ENSSSAG00000110989.1)". Lineage: Eukaryota; Metazoa; Chordata; Actinopteri; Salmoniformes; Salmonidae. The record is from RNAcentral.
AGUGGUUAAGAGCGUUGUGUCAGGGUCACUGGUUUGAAUCCCCAAGCCAACUAGGUGAAACAUCUGCUGAUGUGCCCUUGGCCAAGGUUCUCCUCCAGCCUACAGUGGUCCUGAUGAGUUGGUGCCACCUCCCUGACCUGCUCCGCCAUUCGCUCCCCCCGACUAAGCAGCCAGUCUAUCAGCACCUGGAGCUUGGUCCCGGCAGCGACUAUUGCUAUGGCGCCCUGGGAAAAGCCCCUGAGCUCAUCCUGAGCCAACCGGAGUAGGCGAGGCAGAGACUUUUCUCCCUCAUCCACAGACCUCAGCGGAACCACAGAGAGAGAGAAGUCAUACCCCUUUAUCAUCACGGUUACCCUGUAGCUGUCCUCUGGAGCGAGAGAGAGAGAGAAAGAAAGAAAGAUUUAAAAAAGUUAUAUGGCUUUAUCUGUAGCAGGAGUGAGAGGGGUAAAAAGAGGACAGGAAGAAGUAUCUUUUCAAAAUAGAUGUUUAGCUCAACGAAACUAACCUGGUUAAAUGAAGGUUCAAUAAAAGAGAGAGAAAUAAAUAGAAAGGAAGGGCAUGGCUCUGUUAUGCCUGUGUGUGUGUGUGUGUGUGUGUGUGUGUGUGUGUGUGUGUGUGUGUGUGUGUGUGUGUGUGUGUGUGUGUGUGUGUGUGUGUGUGUGUGUCUCACUGUACUCCUCCUUGAUCUUCCUCACACACUCGGUCAGAGUCAGGGUGCUGUCAUUGUUACAGUUGUAAGUGCGGCGGAGAGAUAUGAUGCGUUCCUUCAUGACAUUAUAGCUCUCAUGCUGCUGGUUGAACGUUUCGGUCACAUCAGAGAACCGCUGGUCCAAGUCCUUCACACCCACACGCUUCGGGACCAACUGACCACUCCGACUCACUGAAACACACACACAAACACACAGUCAAUAACACACACAUACACACUUGUAAUAUGAUGGUAAUAUGUGUGAUUGAACCUGUGGGUGCUGGUCGAGGCUGUCUGGCCGACACUGGCUUCUCUGAUUCUGGAAGCUUGGGGUGCAGUAGGGGCUGUCUCUGUAACACACACGUUCCACUAUGUGUGAAUGAGGUAUCAGGCGGGUUAUACUAAUCCGAUCAAUGUCUAAUACUGUAACAACAUACCUAUUCUAUUCUGUAGUCCGUGUUUCACUCAGUUGGUAAUAUUGUGGCAUAACACUUCCUGAACCAGAAACAUGUAUGUUGUGUGUUGUCAUACAUGCAAUGACCUAUUGGCUUAACAUUAUAUGUUUUUAAACAAGCCUAUUUGAAAGUAGCCUGAGUGAUUAUAAUGUGCUUGUAUGUAUCUUAUUCCACAAAUGCCUCCCUCGGAUAAAAGAAUGUGGUUGUACUUGUUACUGUAAACACACCCAGACAAUAAAUCAUGUUUCUUUCCUGUUCCCAUAUACAGUACCUCGUCGGUGUCUUCAGAAGGAAAAACACAGCGGCAACAAAAUAGCACAGACAUUGCGGCUGAAAUAAAUGAUUUCGAGACCCGACAGUUAAUCCCCGCAAUCAAUCUCUCGUUAUUGUUAGUCACAGAAUUUAUUUUUCUCUCUCGUUUUCCAGGUCAAUCCACCACUGCCCUGCAUUCCUGGUGACGUCAUCUGUCAUGGGACUUGCGGGAAAGUUUUGUAGCUGUACUACAAUAGAUAGGACAGGUGCACCCAAUUUAUAUGCCGGAACUGUACAAAUGCAAUGCAUAGCCAUACGUUUUAGCUUUCAAUAGUAAACAACACAGACAUUUGACACGUCAGCUCCGUCUUUUUCGGUAGUGCAUUUCAGUGGUAUAAAGUACUUAAAGAAAAAUUCUUUAAAGUACUACUUAAGUAUUUUG